RNAcentral lists this ribosomal RNA (398 nucleotides) under uncultured bacterium. Its description in RNAcentral is "partial 16S ribosomal RNA". It matches the Rfam family "Bacterial small subunit ribosomal RNA", at positions 361 to 774 of the family's 1533-position model. The record is from RNAcentral.
AUAUUGCACAAUGGAGGGAACUCUGAUGCAGCAACGCCGCUUGAGUGAAGAAGGUNUUNNGAUCGNANAACUAUGUCUUUUGGNNNNNAAAAAUGACGGUACCCACUGAGGACACCCUGACUAACUACGCGCCAUCAGCCGCGGUAAUACGUAGGGGGCGAGUGUUGUCCGGAAUUACUGGGCGUAAAGGGUACGUAGGCGCCUAUAUAAGUCAGGUGUGAAAUACCAGGGCUUAACACUGGAAUUGCAUUUGAAACUGUGUAGCUUGAGUGCAGGAGAGGAAAGUGGAAUUCCUAGUGUAGCGGUGAAAUGCGUAGAUAUUAGGAGGAAUACCAGUGGCGAAGGCGACUUUCUGGACUUAAACUGACGCUGAGGAACGAAAGCAUGGGGAGCAAACA